AUAAAAAUCAUAAAACCGUAUCUUUGCUUUACAUAAUCUAUUCUUGAGAUGUUUUAAAUUCCGUGGCAAAAAUAAUUUUCCACGUAUCAACUCAAUAGAAGAAUAUAUAACACUUGACUUGUUAAAACGUUAAAUCUAUCUAAAAGUUCAACUGUUCAUUGCUACACGCCGUUAGCCAGUAGAAGAUAAAUCAAACGAAGUUACAAUUCCAAACAAGAACAAUAUGCUUACCAAAAACAAAUCACUGCCAUCUUAAACAAGUAAGUCCACAUUUUAAAUGGAGCUAAAGAAUUUUGCUUAUCUUUGUGACGUUGCAAUUGUCUAUCGUCGAUGCUAAGUUGACGUUAAUGUCGAUACGUGGAAAUUCAACCCAUUAAAUAAUACAAGUUAGGCAACCUGGAAAUUACGACUAAGCUAUAGAGUCUCACGAAAAAGUUAUGGAAAUUCAAGAACAAUCGUCAGGUCAAAAUCACGUUGAUGAUGCUCAGUCUUUGAACA
Long non-coding RNA from Xenia sp. Carnegie-2017, 498 nucleotides. RefSeq lists it as uncharacterized. The record is from RefSeq and is a predicted model, not a curated record. The transcript has 3 exons. NCBI's taxonomy places the organism in Eukaryota, Metazoa, Cnidaria, Anthozoa, Malacalcyonacea, Xeniidae.